Molecule: long non-coding RNA, 758 nt
Organism: Hirundo rustica (Barn swallow)
Lineage: Eukaryota; Metazoa; Chordata; Aves; Passeriformes; Hirundinidae
Exons: 3
Source: RefSeq, a predicted model, not a curated record
CUUUGGAUUUUAGUGGUCCGAGGCUUGGGGGUGGGCACACCUUGUUACCCCCUGAAUCCCCUGAUUUGUUGUCUUGUAGUAUCCUCCCUGGAACCCCUCCCUCACUUAUAGGGGGUAGGGGGGAGGAAGAAUCUCUCUCAGCAUCUCAGCCUCUCAGCCUCUCAGCUCGGAGCUCUGAGCCUCUCUGCUCCUCAGCUCUUGAGCUAAUAAACAUCUUUGAACCUGCUAAGCUGAGAGCCAGCCUUUUCUCUUCUGCUGCUGUUGGCUGUCAGGACACUCUUGGUCCAGCUGCUGAGAAGCCGACCAGCAGCACCCAAGCAGUUGGGACCAGCCAGUCCUUCCCUGCCAGUCUGGACAAGCAGCAGCUCCGAAGUGAUCAGUGAGGAAACCAAAAGCAGGCAAAAGCAAGGAGUCCCACACAGUGCUAAGAAGAUUAGAGGAUGAUAAGGGAUCCCCAUGACUAAGCUUCACGAAGUCCUGCCUAAAGCUUGUGAAGAUUAUUUCUACAGUAACAAAGUUACCCUUGAUAGGGUGGAACUGUAUAGUGAAUUACUGAGAAUAAAGACAGUUUGGAACACUGCAUGAAUAUUUGGUCUUAAAGCUAAAAAGUGCUUUUUCAAGCUGGAAGACAUGUAUUUCAAAUAGGGACAUUCACACAGAUUUGCUUUCAUUACUUUGUGUAAAAAGAUGAUUAGUUUAAGAAGUUUAUUGGGUGCAAAGUAUGACGUACAGUUACUGUGGACCACAGACUUCCUAUU